RNAcentral lists this ribosomal RNA (440 nucleotides) under uncultured bacterium. RNAcentral's name for it is "partial 16S ribosomal RNA". It matches the Rfam family "Bacterial small subunit ribosomal RNA", at positions 339 to 795 of the family's 1533-position model. The record is from RNAcentral.
CUACGGGGGGCACCAGUGGGGAAUAUUGCACAAUGGGGGGAACCCUGAUGCAGCAACGCCGCGUGGAGGAUGACACAUUUCGGUGCGUAAACUCCUUUUAUAUAAGAAGAUAAUGACGGUAUUAUAUGAAUAAGCACCGGCUAACUCCGUGCCAGCAGCCGCGGUAAUACGGGGGGUGGCAAGCGUUACUCGGAAUCACUGGGCGUAAAGAGCAUGUAGGCGGGUAGAAAAGUUGGAAGUGAAAUCCUAUGGCUUAACCAUAGAACUGCUUCCAAAACUCUUUACCUAGAAUAUGGGAGAGGUAGAUGGAAUUUCUGGUGUAGGGGUAAAAUCCGUAGAGAUCAGAAGGAAUACCGAUUGCGAAGGCGAUCUACUGGAACAUUAUUGACGCUCAGAUGCGAAAGCGUGGGGAGCAAACAGGAUUAGAUACCCUCGUAGUC